AGUGAACGCUGGCGGUAUGCCUAAUACAUGCAAGUCGAACGGCAGCACAGUAAGCUCUUGCUCUUACGGGUGGCGAGUGGCGGACGGGUGACGAAUACAUCGCAAUCUUCUUUUUCGUGGGUGAUAACGUAGGGCAACUUACGCUAAUACUGCAUAUGACCUACGGCUUAAUUCAGUGGAUCUUCGCACCUUUCCCGACUGAAUGAGCUGAUGCCGCAUUAGCUAGUUGGUAGGGUAAAGGCCCACCAAGGCGACGAUACGUAGCUGGUCUGAGAGGAUGAUCAGCCACACUGGAACUGAGACACGGUCCAGACUCCUACGGGAGGCAGCAGUAGGGAAUAUUCGGCAAUGGGCGAAAGCCUGAUGCAGCAACGCCGCGUGGGUGAAGAAGGUCUUCGGGUCGUAAAGCCCUGUUGUUAGGGAAGAAAAGCAGCAGGAUUAACUCCGGCUGUUUUGACGGUACCCAAAGAAUAAGCACCGGCUAACUUCGUG
RNAcentral lists this ribosomal RNA (492 nucleotides) under uncultured bacterium. RNAcentral describes it as "partial 16S ribosomal RNA". It matches the Rfam family "Bacterial small subunit ribosomal RNA", at positions 29 to 507 of the family's 1533-position model. The record is from RNAcentral.